Molecule: long non-coding RNA, 359 nt
Filed under: Brassica napus (rape)
Lineage: Eukaryota; Viridiplantae; Streptophyta; Magnoliopsida; Brassicales; Brassicaceae
Description: long non-coding RNA (BNAP_LNC026446)
Source: RNAcentral
UGUAUUAUUGAUUUUUAGAGCACAAAUUACAACAUAUGGGUUUAGUGCCGCAUGUCUGUAUAAUCGAAGUGUAGAAUAAUUGAUCCCUUUGUUCUAGGGUUUAAGAACUUUGUUUUUUUUUUUUUUUGGUUUAACCUGGGGUAUCCCGGACCUAUGGAAGGGCCCAGACUAAUCCCCAAGGGGAGGUGCAGCCCACGGAUAGACCCUCUCUCCGGGUAUGCAAAUGGACCCUAAAGCAUGGACCCAUAUCCGUGUGGGGGUGUCCAGAGACAUCAUGAGGUAGUUCCCUCCGGCAGAGUUCGAUCUCGCAACCUGGGUGCAGGAAGGAGCCCGUCCUUACCAUUGGGCCAUGAUGUUCC